AUGAUUCUCCAUUCAGUUAUUCUGCUCUCUGCUUUAGCAUAUGCCAGUAAUGGAGAUACUAUUACACCAGACAAAAUGGAGGAGUUUGCUGAUGAGGAUUCAGAUCUUACUUUAUCCUGCAGUUAUUCCUCUGCCUGGAAUUUACUUUGGUACCGUCAGUAUCCUGGAUCAGCACUUGAAUAUCUUGUGCUUACUGUAGAUACUGUAACAGAAGCUAGAACGUCUGAUGUAGAUGCCAGAUUUGCUACUAAAACACGAAAAGAAAGUGGAAACCGUGUGGAUCUGAAGAUCUCCUCUGCUGCAGUAUCAGAAUUUGCUGUGUAUUACUGUGCUCUGAAAGCCACAGUGACUGAAAACACACAAGCAUUGAACAAAAACCUCACUGUGAAAGGAGACAUUGGUCUACUAUGGAAAUGA
Danio aesculapii is the source of this 417-nucleotide non-coding RNA. The record is from the annotation of a RefSeq genome assembly. NCBI's taxonomy places the organism in Eukaryota, Metazoa, Chordata, Actinopteri, Cypriniformes, Danionidae.